This 853-nucleotide ribosomal RNA is filed under the name uncultured bacterium. RNAcentral describes it as "bacterial SSU rRNA". It matches the Rfam family "Bacterial small subunit ribosomal RNA", at positions 31 to 896 of the family's 1533-position model. The record is from RNAcentral.
GAACGCUGGCGGCGUGCUUAACACAUGCAAGUCGAACGGUGAACCAGGGCUUGCCCUGGGGAUCAGUGGCGAACGGGUGAGUAACACGUGACCAACCUGCCCCUUGCUCUGGGAUAACCCCGGGAAACCGGAGCUAAUACCGGAUACGAGACCGCGCGGCAUCACGCGGUCUGGAAAGUUUUUCGGCAAGGGAUGGGGUCGCGGCCUAUCAGCUUGUUGGUGGGGUAAUGGCCUACCAAGGCGACGACGGGUAGCCGGCCUGAGAGGGCGACCGGCCACACUGGGACUGAGACACGGCCCAGACUCCUACGGGAGGCAGCAGUGGGGAAUAUUGCGCAAUGGGCGAAAGCCUGACGCAGCGACGCCGCGUGAGGGAUGACGGCCUUCGGGUUGUAAACCUCUUUCAGCAGGGAAGAAGCGAAAGUGACGGUACCUGCAGAAGAAGCACCGGCUAACUACGUGCCAGCAGCCGCGGUAAUACGUAGGGUGCAAGCGUUGUCCGGAAUUAUUGGGCGUAAAGAGCUCGUAGGCGGUCUGUCACGUCGGACGUGAAAAUCCAGGGCUCAACCCUGGACCUGCGUUCGAUACGGGCAGACUAGAGUUCGGUAGGGGAGACUGGAAUUCCUGGUGUAGCGGUGAAAUGCGCAGAUAUCAGGAGGAACACCGAUGGCGAAGGCAGGUCUCUGGGCAUUAACUGACGCUGAGGAGCGAAAGCAUGGGGAGCGAACAGGAUUAGAUACCCUGGUAGUCCAUGCCGUAAACGUUGGGAACUAGGUGUGGGUCUCAUUCCACGAGAUCCGUGCCGCAGCUAACGCAUUAAGUUCCCCGCCUGGGGAGUACGGCCGCAAGGCUA